GCGGUACCGGUUCCCGUCCUUCGGGGACGACCCGGCGACC
Molecule: non-coding RNA, 40 nt
Submitted as: unclassified sequences
Source: Rfam